GUUCUCUUAUGACAAAUAAGGUCAUUUUCUUACCCUUUACUUGCUAUCUACCAAGAAUAGAUUUAUGACUCUUUUCUCACCUCAGCAUCUUUCAGGACAACCGUCUAAGUUUAAAUUCUUUUUGUAUGUGCUCACUUGGAAUUCUCAACCAAAAGUAACUUUAUAGUCAAACAAUAAUAGUUUGAAAAUUACUUGUUUUUUUAGU
This 205-nucleotide unclassified non-coding RNA is filed under the name Hevea brasiliensis (rubber tree). The record is from RNAcentral. Lineage: Eukaryota; Viridiplantae; Streptophyta; Magnoliopsida; Malpighiales; Euphorbiaceae.